This 1596-nucleotide ribosomal RNA is filed under the name Escherichia coli. RNAcentral describes it as "partial 23S ribosomal RNA". It matches the Rfam family "Bacterial large subunit ribosomal RNA", at positions 1351 to 2925 of the family's 2925-position model. Lineage: Bacteria; Pseudomonadati; Pseudomonadota; Gammaproteobacteria; Enterobacterales; Enterobacteriaceae. The record is from RNAcentral.
GUUCCUGUCCAACGUUAAUCGGGGCAGGGUGAGUCGACCCCUAAGGCGAGGCCGAAAGGCGUAGUCGAUGGGAAACAGGUUAAUAUUCCUGUACUUGGUGUUACUGCGAAGGGGGGACGGAGAAGGCUAUGUUGGCCGGGCGACGGUUGUCCCGGUUUAAGCGUGUAGGCUGAUUUUCCAGGCAAAUCCGGAAAAUCAAGGCUGAGGCGUGAUGACGAGGCACUACGGUGCUGAAGCAACAAAUGCCCUGCUUCCAGGAAAAGCCUCUAAGCAUCAGGUAACAUCAAAUCGUACCCCAAACCGACACAGGUGGUCAGGUAGAGAAUACCAAGGCGCUUGAGAGAACUCGGGUGAAGGAACUAGGCAAAAUGGUGCCGUAACUUCGGGAGAAGGCACGCUGAUAUGUAGGUGAAGCGACUUGCUCGUGGAGCUGAAAUCAGUCGAAGAUACCAGCUGGCUGCAACUGUUUAUUAAAAACACAGCACUGUGCAAACACGAAAGUGGACGUAUACGGUGUGACGCCUGCCCGGUGCCGGAAGGUUAAUUGAUGGGGUUAGCGGUAACGCGAAGCUCUUGAUCGAAGCCCCGGUAAACGGCGGCCGUAACUAUAACGGUCCUAAGGUAGCGAAAUUCCUUGUCGGGUAAGUUCCGACCUGCACGAAUGGCGUAAUGAUGGCCAGGCUGUCUCCACCCGAGACUCAGUGAAAUUGAACUCGCUGUGAAGAUGCAGUGUACCCGCGGCAAGACGGAAAGACCCCGUGAACCUUUACUAUAGCUUGACACUGAACAUUGAGCCUUGAUGUGUAGGAUAGGUGGGAGGCUUUGAAGUGUGGACGCCAGUCUGCAUGGAGCCGACCUUGAAAUACCACCCUUUAAUGUUUGAUGUUCUAACGUUGGCCCGUUAUCCGGGUUGCGGACAGUGUCUGGUGGGUAGUUUGACUGGGGCGGUCUCCUCCUAAAGAGUAACGGAGGAGCACGAAGGUUGGCUAAUCCUGGUCGGACAUCAGGAGGUUAGUGCAAUGGCAUAAGCCAGCUUGACUGCGAGCGUGACGGCGCGAGCAGGUGCGAAAGCAGGUCAUAGUGAUCCGGUGGUUCUGAAUGGAAGGGCCAUCGCUCAACGGAUAAAAGGUACUCCGGGGAUAACAGGCUGAUACCGCCCAAGAGUUCAUAUCGACGGCGGUGUUUGGCACCUCGAUGUCGGCUCAUCACAUCCUGGGGCUGAAGUAGGUCCCAAGGGUAUGGCUGUUCGCCAUUUAAAGUGGUACGCGAGCUGGGUUUAGAACGUCGUGAGACAGUUCGGUCCCUAUCUGCCGUGGGCGCUGGAGAACUGAGGGGGGCUGCUCCUAGUACGAGAGGACCGGAGUGGACGCAUCACUGGUGUUCGGGUUGUCAUGCCAAUGGCACUGCCCGGUAGCUAAAUGCGGAAGAGAUAAGUGCUGAAAGCAUCUAAGCACGAAACUUGCCCCGAGAUGAGUUCUCCCUGACUCCUUGAGAGUCCUGAAGGAACGUUGAAGACGACGACGUUGAUAGGCCGGGUGUGUAAGCGCAGCGAUGCGUUGAGCUAACCGGUACUAAUGAACCGUGAGGCUUAACCUU